This 973-nucleotide ribosomal RNA is filed under the name Actinomyces ruminicola. Its description in RNAcentral is "bacterial SSU rRNA". It matches the Rfam family "Bacterial small subunit ribosomal RNA", at positions 61 to 1002 of the family's 1533-position model. Lineage: Bacteria; Bacillati; Actinomycetota; Actinomycetes; Actinomycetales; Actinomycetaceae. The record is from RNAcentral.
GUCGAACGGGCUUUCCUGCUGGUUUUUGCUGGUGGGUUGGUUAGUGGCGAACGGGUGAGUAACACGUGAGUAACCUGCCCUCUUCUCCUGGAUAACUGCUUGAAAGGGUGGCUAAUACGGGGUGGUCUGGCCUGCCUGCAUGGGUGGGUUGGUAUAGGUUCAGCUGUUUUGGUUGUUCCGGUGGGGGAUGGGCUCGCGGCUUAUCAGCUUGUUGGUGGGGUGAUGGCUUACCAAGGCUUUGACGGGUAGCCGGCCUGAGAGGGUGGACGGUCACACUGGGACUGAGAUACGGCCCAGACUCCUGCGGGAGGCAGCAGUGGGGAAUAUUGCACAAUGGGCGGAAGCCUGAUGCAGCGACGUCGCGUGAGGGAUGGAGGCCUUCGGGUUGUGAACCUCUUUUUCCGGUGGUGAAGGCCUGUCCCGUUGUGGGUGGGUUGACGGUAGCCGGGUUAGGAAGCGCCGGCUAACUACGUGCCAGCAGCCGCGGUAAUACGUAGGGCGCGAGCGUUGUCCGGAAUUACUGGGCGUAAAGGGCUUGUAGGCGGCUGGUCGCGUCUGCCGUGAAAUCCUCUGGCUUAACUGGGGGCUUGCGGUGGGUACGGGCUGGCUUGAGCGCGGUAGGGGAGACUGGAACUCCUGGUGUAGCGGUGGAAUGCGCAGAUAUCAGGAGGAACACCGGUGGCGAAGGCGGGUCUCUGGGCUGUUGCUGACGCUGAGGAGCGAAAGCGUGGGGAGCGAACAGGAUUAGAUACCCUGGUAGUCCACGCUGUAAACGUUGGGCACUGGGUGUGGGGGCCCUUUUCCGGGGUUUCCGCGCCGUAGCUAACGCGUUAAGUGCCCCGCCUGGGGAGUACGGCCGCAAGGCUAAAACUCAAAGGAAUUGACGGGGGCCCGCACAAGCGGCGGAGCAUGCGGAUUAAUUCGAUGCAACGCGAAGAACCUUACCAAGGCUUGACAUGGGCUGGUUGCUGCC